AACGAACGCUGGCGGCAUGCCUAACACAUGCAAGUCGAACGAGACCUUCGGGUCUAGUGGCGCACGGGUGCGUAACGCGUGGGAACCUGCCCUUAGGUUCGGAAUAACUCCCCGAAAGGGGUGCUAAUACCGGAUAAUGUCUUCGGACCAAAGAUUUAUCGCCUUUGGAUGGGCCCGCGUUGGAUUAGCUAGUUGGUAGGGUAAAAGCCUACCAAGGCGACGAUCCAUAGCUGGUCUGAGAGGAUGAUCAGCCACACUGGGACUGGGACACGGCCCAGACUCCUACGGGAGGCAGCAGUGGGGAAUAUUGGACAAUGGGCGAAAGCCUGAGCCAGCAAUGCCGCGUGAGUGAUGAAGGCCUUAGGGUUGUAAAGCUCUUUUACCCGGGAUGAUAAUGACAGUACCGGGAGAAUAAGCUCCGGCUAACUCCGUG
Molecule: ribosomal RNA, 433 nt
Filed under: uncultured bacterium
Lineage: Bacteria
Description: partial 16S ribosomal RNA
Rfam family: Bacterial small subunit ribosomal RNA
Source: RNAcentral